UACGAAGGGUGCAAGCGUUACUCGGAAUUACUGGGCGUAAAGGGUGCGUAGGUGGCGGGGUAAGUCAGGUGUGAAAUUUCGGAGCUUAACUCCGAAACUGCAUUUGAUACUGCCUUGCUUGAGGACUGGAGAGGAGACUGGAAUUCACGGUGUAGCAGUGAAAUGCGUAGAUAUCGUGAGGAAGACCAGUGGCGAAGGCGGGUCUCUGGACAGUUCCUGACACUGAGGCACGAAGGCCAGGGGAGCAAACGGG
This 253-nucleotide ribosomal RNA is filed under the name uncultured bacterium. RNAcentral's name for it is "partial 16S ribosomal RNA". It matches the Rfam family "Bacterial small subunit ribosomal RNA", at positions 524 to 776 of the family's 1533-position model. The record is from RNAcentral.